GGAUUAUUCAAAGGACAGCACAGCACAGAAGGAAGCAACUUUUCCAAAUGCAGAAGAGUUCGGCUAUUUCAACAGAGAGGCUGGGUGAAAUUCAGCUGCAAGUCAAUGGUUGGGGAUUUCCUUUCACCACAUUUUCUCUGGUCCCUUAAUUGUUUUUAAAUCUUGCUGAGUACUUUGUUUACAGUCCCUAGUACAGGGAUUUGCAUCCCCUGCUCCUGUUUGUGCUGUCCAAGAGUCUGUCUCAGUUCCAUUCUGCCUAGAGCAAGAGCUCCCCCCUGGCCAAGACACAUUACCAGUGGGGAUUAAGAGAGCUGCUGCAGCCUUCUUUUUCUCAAGUUGACAGAAGAGAUUCAGAGAGAUAAGACUUACUCUUUCUUUCCUAAGAGAUCACGCUGAGUUUGAUGUCAAUGGAUUUCCUUUUUCUGAGGGUAUUCCUUAAUGGACACAUCCAGAAUUAGUCUAAAACUUCACCAAGAAAUCCCUGCAGUACAAUAUGCCUGAAGAGCACUUUAAAGAGAUUUUGGGAGCACCAAAAGGUCCAGAGCCGAGAUCCCAGAAAGCUUCUAGCCUUCCCUGUGACUCCCUCUGGAUUUGCUGUGCUUCAAACUCGUAGACCCUUCUGAGCCCACCCACUGAGACAAGCCUCUGCUCUGGAGCAAG
RNAcentral lists this long non-coding RNA (660 nucleotides) under Vombatus ursinus (common wombat). RNAcentral describes it as "lncRNA (ENSVURG00010013670.1)". Lineage: Eukaryota; Metazoa; Chordata; Mammalia; Diprotodontia; Vombatidae. The record is from RNAcentral.